GACGAAGGAUCCAAGCGUUAUCCGGAUUUAUUGGGUUUAAAGGGUGCGUAGGCGGAAUAAUAAGUCAGUGGUGAAAGCCCAAAGCUUAACUUUGGAACUGCCAUUGAUACUGUUAUUCUUGAGUAUGUUUGAAGUGGGCGGAAUGUAUUGUGUAGCGGUGAAAUGCUUAGAUAUAAUACAGAACACCAAUUGCGAAGGCAGCUCACUAAACCAUAACUGACGCUGAGGCACGAAAGCAUGGGGAGCAAACAGG
This 253-nucleotide ribosomal RNA is filed under the name uncultured bacterium. Its description in RNAcentral is "partial 16S ribosomal RNA". It matches the Rfam family "Bacterial small subunit ribosomal RNA", at positions 524 to 776 of the family's 1533-position model. The record is from RNAcentral.